UGGGGAAUUUUGGACAAUGGGCGAAAGCCUGAUCCAGCAAUGCCGCGUGCAGGAUGAAGGCCUUCGGGUUGUAAGCUGCUUUUGUACGGAACGAAAAAGCUUCUCCUAAUACGAGAGGCCCAUGACGGUACCGUAAGAAUAAGCACCGGCUAACUACGUGCCAGCAGCCGCGGUAAUACGUAGGGUGCGAGCGUUAAUCGGAAUUACUGGGCGUAAAGCGUGCGCAGGCGGUUAUGUAAGACAGAUGUGAAAUCCCCGGGCUCAACCUGGGAACUGCAUUUGUGACUGCAUGGCUAGAGUACGGUAGAGGGGGAUGGAAUUCCGCGUGUAGCAGUGAAAUGCGUAGAUAUGCGGAGGAACACCGAUGGCGAAGGCAAUCCCCUGGACCUGUACUGACGCUCAUGCACGAAAGCGUGGGGAGCAAACAGGAUUAGAUACCCUGGUAGUCCACGCCCUAAACGAUGUCAACUGGUUGUUGGGAAUUAGUUUUCUCAGUAACGAAGCUAACGCGUGAAGUUGACCGCCUGGGGAGUACGGCCGCAAGGUUG
This 548-nucleotide ribosomal RNA is filed under the name uncultured bacterium. RNAcentral describes it as "bacterial SSU rRNA". It matches the Rfam family "Bacterial small subunit ribosomal RNA", at positions 355 to 896 of the family's 1533-position model. The record is from RNAcentral.